UCAAAAUGUAGCUUAUUUAUAAAGCUAAUUAGUUACAUUAAUAUGAAAGUAUAUUACUCUUUUUGA
Molecule: transfer RNA, 66 nt
Filed under: Aguriahana triangularis
Lineage: Eukaryota; Metazoa; Arthropoda; Insecta; Hemiptera; Cicadellidae
Description: tRNA-Val
Source: RNAcentral